This 253-nucleotide ribosomal RNA is filed under the name uncultured bacterium. RNAcentral describes it as "partial 16S ribosomal RNA". It matches the Rfam family "Bacterial small subunit ribosomal RNA", at positions 524 to 776 of the family's 1533-position model. The record is from RNAcentral.
UACGUAGGGUGCAGGCGUUAAUCGGAAUUACUGGGCGUAAAGCGUGCGCAGGCGGUUUGCUAAGAGAGAUGUGAAAUCCCCGGGCUUAACCUGGGAACUGCGUUUCUAACUGGCAGGCUUGAGUGUGGCAGAGGGGGGUGGAAUUCCACGUGUAGCAGUGAAAUGCGUAGAGAUGCGGAGGAACACCGAUGGCGAAGGCAGCCCCCUGGGCUAACACUGACGCUCAGGCACGAAAGCGUGGGGAGCAAACAGG